Molecule: transfer RNA, 69 nt
Filed under: Fischoederius cobboldi
Lineage: Eukaryota; Metazoa; Platyhelminthes; Trematoda; Plagiorchiida; Gastrothylacidae
Description: tRNA-Ala
Source: RNAcentral
AACGAUGUAUUUUAAAAUGGAGAUUGCGUGCUCUGCAAGUACGAGGUGAGUAUUGGAACUCUGUCGUUG